This 244-nucleotide long non-coding RNA is filed under the name Elaeis guineensis (African oil palm). Its description in RNAcentral is "long non-coding RNA (EGUI_LNC035906)". The record is from RNAcentral. Lineage: Eukaryota; Viridiplantae; Streptophyta; Magnoliopsida; Arecales; Arecaceae.
CACAGAAGUAUCUCCAUUAUUUCUCUUCAUUAAUCCAUCUUCGUUUGUUUUCUUCAACCAAAACCAAGCUCUCUUCAUCAUUCAUCCAUUAUAAUAUUCCUUACACCCAUCAUCUUCUCUAUUUCUCAUUAUAAUAUUCUAAUCUCUCUUCCUUUCACAGUUUCAUCCACAGAAUACCCUGUUAUUUAGCUCCAUUAAUCCAUGUGAGUUUGUAAAUAAGUAUGUUUACUCAUGUAUUAGCAUA